Molecule: long non-coding RNA, 3015 nt
Organism: Dermochelys coriacea (leatherback sea turtle)
Lineage: Eukaryota; Metazoa; Chordata; Testudines; Dermochelyidae
Exons: 2
Source: RefSeq, a predicted model, not a curated record
UUGUGGGUCUGUGCUUAACUUGAAAACCCCCCUAUCAUUCAAUAUUCAUUUUCUUCCACAGGAUUAGCUAAGUCUUUCUUCACUCUUAUUUUUUUGCUGCUAUUCCUUUUUCCUUUUAAAAAAAGAAGUCAGUAAGUUUAUUUAAAAGAAUAUGAGAUAACGAUGACUAUUUGUCAAUAUAAUAUCUUAUAAUAAAAUAUAUUAGUGAUCUUACUGGCACAUGAUUGUAUAUACUUACAUUGGAUAACAUUCACUAAAAAUCUUAGGCCUGAUUCACUGCUGUGUUAUCCUGAAUUUACACUAACGUAACUCCAUUGAUUUCAGCAGAGUUGUACCAAGUUUAAAACCAAAGCAGUGAUGAGACAGACCCUCUUUUUCUUAGGUGAGGUACCUAAAAUGUAACUCUGCAAUUCACAUGCUAAUAAUAGGUGAAUUCUGGAUCUCUACUGAGAUUAGAAGAAUAGGUGAAGUGGUGCUGUAAUGGUAUCACACAAGUGAAAAUGUAAAAAGUGCUUGUGAGGGUCAAAAAGAGGCAGCCAGAGCUAGAACUGAACUGCUCCAUGCACAUACAUUAAUUAAGUGAAAUAAAAGCUUUUCCUGAAUGCUUGGAGAACAUAGAGAUCAGUGCUGUACAGCACAGGACAUGUUAGAAAAAGCUGCUGUUGACACAAAAGAAAGACGGAGGAUAUUGUGGUUGCAGCUGCAAUACAGCUGCCACAUACAAACAAAUUAAAACCCUCCGAGGACCAAAAAACACAAUAAACUGUGACAUAAAUUAAGCAAAUAAACAUUUUUUCUCAGCAGUCCAAGAACACUUGUUUAGAGUUUGGAAAAGCAUGCAAGGAUUUCCCAGCUGCACAAAGAGUCUUUACAUGCCAAAGAAGCUUAAGAUCCAGGUUUGUCUGUUAAAACAGCAUAUGCUCACUCUCCUGAUAACUAGGUAUAAAUAUGAUGUUUUUCCUCUGUUUUUAUCCAUAUUUUAAGGCUUCUAAUCACACACACAGAUCCACAUGGAAACUCUUGCUAUUGGUGUCAAUACAGUAGAAGCUGCACACAUUAACUUUUAAAGUAACUGUUGCACUAUGUAUUGAUGCGCCAACAUAGUUUGCAAAUGGUACUGUAUUAAUAAAGCAGCUAGGAUUUGCUAUGAGGAGGUUUGAUCAUGUGAAACCCGCCAACCCAUUCCACCCCACUCACACUUGGUUGCCGAGAAAGUUUUGCAUUACUUACAAUUUUGCAUUACUUAUGCUGAUUUACAAAACCAUUCACAAGCAGAGCCCAAGUUACCUUUCUGAGUUAGUAACUCUUUCCUCUUCUGGUCAGCUGGGGUCAACUGAUACAGGUCUCUGCAUCUUCGAUACUAAAAUGUGUCACUUUGGGUGGUCGCUCUUUCAGCUAUUGUGCACGUGGAGCUCAUUGCCUAUUGACAUUAGCAAUGUCGCUACCUUCCCUGUGUUUAAAGUCUAAACUCAGGACACAUUUGUUUUCAUUGGCCAUUAGCUGGUUGCAAAUUAUUAUGAAUUUUGAAGGAUGAACUGGUUUUUCUUUUAAAUUUUUAUCAUUGCUGUGAAGUGUUUUGAAAUGCAUCUGCAUGAUAAGGCAUUCAGAGUUGUGGUUUUUUCCCCUUUCAUUUCAUUUUUGUUUUCUAUUUACAAAUACAAUCAGCCAAAGAUACAGCAACACAGAAUAUACAGUGGAAUUAUUCAAGUGCAGAUAGACUAUUUUCUCCCUAAUGUAAAAAUGUUGUAGACCUAAAGGAAGGCUCUACAAGGCAACCCUUUUGAGAAAUACAUAAAAUAAAAUGAAACAGUUACUGUUUUAAAACAAGCAUAAAAUAUUUCACCAAUUGAAAUAGCUAUCAGUCCACCCUAUACAGAACAUUUAACCUUCUAUUGAACUAAAUCAAAACACGGGAACUUUAGUCUAUCAGAAAACAGCCAAUUCAUAAGAGAGGAGUUAGCAUUUUAAAUAAUUAUUUAUUGCUAUUUUAUUAUUAUUCAUUAAGUGCUGCAGGCAUGCUUGGUGUGGUACUAGACACGGAAGAUGACACAGUCCCUGCCUGUAGGAGGUUACGUGUACUGUUUAUCAACAGCUUGAUUACCAAUUGACUGAAGAAGAGAAAAAUUCCAUUUUAGAAAGACACUGCAAUGAAUCAAAUCUAACAAUAGGAAAGUGGUUUAAUAUCCCUCUGCUAGGACAAAUUCCAUCAGACAAAAAUGAUUCCAAAAAGGUCAAUCAUUAAAAAGCAUACAAAAAUAAAUAAGAGUCAUAGUAAGAGAAUAUUGCCACAGGGAAAAAUUCGCUCUCUCACUGGGAAAUACUCUCAAUAAAUGCCUCCAUCACCUCAGCUUUCAUUUAGCAACAGAAGGCCCCCCCAAGAAUGUUUUGUUUUAUUCUAGUGGAAAUGAGUCAGAGGCUGUUCCUCAUUCAUGUCAUUGUGUAAAGGCAUCACAAUAUGAUACAUGAGAUCAUGGAACUGUUCUCAUAUUAAUCCAGUAAACAAGAUGGAAGGCAUGAAUGGAUGAGCCUAACCCUGGCUUUCAUGACUUUUGGAGUAUAAGUGAAAACCUUCAUAGACUGCAUUAUUACAUUUUAUUUAUUUAUUUAGGUCUGAUCAUGAAGUCAAUCAAUGGCUUGCCAUUUAUGUCAACAUGGGAAGGGUCAGGCCUAAAUUCUGGGAUAGUUUUACACUUCCAAAGAUCAAAAUUCAGACUGUGUUGCCCACUUGCUCCUUCCCAGUGAAGCUAGUGUGAUGGCACAGCUGUGAGUCAAUGCAGAAUGUACUCCAAAGUUCAAAAAUAAAGAGACUGCUUGAGAAAAUAUUGUAGUGAUCCAGGCAUGAAUGUUAACCUAUCACAAAUUAGUUCACGUGUUAAUCAGCUGAACAAUUUUCCUGAUAUGUAAUUGGGGAUAGACUUGUAGUGAAGUGCAAUUGUCAGGCCUAUAGGAGAGAAAUUGACUUUUCAUGUCCUGUGUAUUUCUAUAUGUUAUCAUAAAUUCUAAUAAAACGUUAUU